AAGAAAAAACUACAAACCAGGUGAGCUGUGAUGUCAUCAGUUAUGCAACAUCUGUCACAUUUACUUUCUGUUUGAACACGACUGAAAGUGGGAGACCCCAGUCCGGUUGUUAUGUCUCAGUUUGUUGUUCAGAUAUUUUCUUUCAACUCUUUGGAUCGUUUGAACAAACUGCUGAACCACUAACACACAGGCCAACUGGGAAUACAUAUACUGAACAAAAAUAUAAACGCCCCAGCGGCUAAGACCAGCGACACACACAGCUGAUGAGACUAUUGGUCUGCAUAACAGAUGCAUCACACCUCCAACUGUCCAUAACCGCCUACAAGAAGCCAACUUGGUCAAAAUCAAACUCCUCCACCCUCAUGUUCAAAGGACUGUCAAUCCACUACAAAUGGCCAAACCACAAUGUUAUCAAUGCCGAUAUGAAGAUCAGUAAUUACUGAAAAUAUGUUUUGAGUUUCUCUAUAUAUUGCAUUACCCAAAUAUUCAUAAAACUCUUAUAUUUGACAUGGGGUGUUUACAUUUUUGUUCAGUGUACAUAAACUAUAUCAGCACAGAAAAAGUCAGUGAGUUGAUAUGUAAAUGCUCACUGCAGCACAUAAUGCUUUGUUCAAAAGAUGCAUCAUUAUCACUGCAUGUCCAACGUGCAACAUCUUUGCUCUGCUUUGCAAGGUGGUGGCAUUUAAACUUGCCUCAUACCUUAAUGAAUAAUUCUAGAAAGAAACAUGAAUCCUCAGAGGGGAUUGAUAUAAAUGUCCACACAGGUCAACCUGUGUCCAGUUUGAGUAAAAGGUGCGAUACGCAAACCACCCCGAGGUAAACUUCAGAGAUGCAACACAACAGUGCAUGAGGCAGCAGAGGUGUGAUUGGUGCUGCCAGCUUCAUUCACUGCUCAGUGCAUCAACUAUAAGCCCAUCAUUCAGGAAAUAUUCUGCCCUGAAAAUGAAACACUGACUGCAGCAAAGACGACUGCAAUCUGGCUGGCUUAUUCAAAUUAUUAUUUUUUUAAAUAAAAA
Xiphophorus hellerii (green swordtail) is the source of this 1016-nucleotide long non-coding RNA. RefSeq lists it as uncharacterized. The record is from RefSeq and is a predicted model, not a curated record. Lineage: Eukaryota; Metazoa; Chordata; Actinopteri; Cyprinodontiformes; Poeciliidae. The transcript is spliced from 2 exons.